Molecule: transfer RNA, 77 nt
Filed under: Bacteroidota bacterium
Lineage: Bacteria; Pseudomonadati; Bacteroidota
Description: Bacteroidetes bacterium (activated sludge metagenome) tRNA-His
Rfam family: tRNA
About the family: Transfer RNA (tRNA) molecules are approximately 80 nucleotides in length.
Source: RNAcentral
GUGGGCAUAGCUCAAUUGGUUAGAGCGCCAGAUUGUGGCUCUGGAGGUUGUGGGUUCAAUUCCCAUUGCUCACCCCA